UACGUAGGGGGCAAGCGUUGUCCGGAUUUAUUGGGCGUAAAGCGCGUGUAGGCGGCCAGGCAGGUCCGUUGUGAAAACUCGAGGCUCAACCUCGAGACGGCGACGGAAACCAUCUGGCUAGAGUCCGGAAGAGGAGAGUGGAAUUCCUGGUGUAGCGGUGAAAUGCGCAGAUAUCAGGAAGAACACCCGUGGCGAAGGCGGCUCUCUGGGACGGUACUGACGCUGAGACGCGAAAGCGUGGGGAGCGAACAGG
Molecule: ribosomal RNA, 253 nt
Filed under: uncultured bacterium
Lineage: Bacteria
Description: partial 16S ribosomal RNA
Rfam family: Bacterial small subunit ribosomal RNA
Source: RNAcentral